This 468-nucleotide ribosomal RNA is filed under the name uncultured bacterium. Its description in RNAcentral is "partial 16S ribosomal RNA". It matches the Rfam family "Bacterial small subunit ribosomal RNA", at positions 28 to 507 of the family's 1533-position model. The record is from RNAcentral.
GACGAACGCUGGCGGCGUGCUUAACACAUGCAAGUCGAACGGCAAGGCCCUGCUUUUGUGGGGUGCUCGAGUGGCGAACGGGUGAGUAACACGUGAGUAACCUGCCCUUGACUUUGGGAUAACUUCAGGAAACUGGGGCUAAUACCGGAUAGGAGCUCCUGCUGCAUGGUGGGGGUUGGAAAGUUUCGGCGGUUGGGGAUGGACUCGCGGCUUAUCAGCUUGUUGGUGGGGUAGUGGCUUACCAAGGCUUUGACGGGUAGCCGGCCUGAGAGGGUGACCGGCCACAUUGGGACUGAGAUACGGCCCAGACUCCUACGGGAGGCAGCAGUGGGGAAUAUUGCACAAUGGGCGGAAGCCUGAUGCAGCAACGCCGCGUGCGGGAUGACGGCCUACGGGUUGUAAACCGCUUUCGCCUGUGACGAAGCGUGAGUGACGGUAAUGGGUAAAGAAGCACCGGCUAACUACGUG